GUGAGGAAUAUUGGUCAAUGGGCGGAAGCCUGAACCAGCCAUGCCGCGUGCAGGAAGACGGCUCUAUGAGUUGUAAACUGCUUUUGUACUAGGGUAAUUUGCGGUACGUGUACCGUAUUGAAAGUAUAGUACGAAUAAGGAUCGGCUAACUCCGUGCCAGCAGCCGCGGUAAUACGGAGGAUCCAAGCGUUAUCCGGAUUUAUUGGGUUUAAAGGGUGCGUAGGCGGCAGAUUAAGUUAGAGGUGAAAUUCCGAGGCUCAACCUUGGCACUGCCUCUGAUACUGGUUUGCUAGCGAGUAGAUGCUGUAGGCGGAAUGUGUGGUGUAGCGGUGAAAUGCAUAGAGAUCACACAGAACACCGAUUGCGAAGGCAGCUUACAAAUCUAUAUCGGACGCUGAGGCACGAAAGCGUGGGGAGCAAACAGGAUUAGAAACCCUAGUAGUCC
RNAcentral lists this ribosomal RNA (445 nucleotides) under uncultured bacterium. RNAcentral's name for it is "bacterial SSU rRNA". It matches the Rfam family "Bacterial small subunit ribosomal RNA", at positions 354 to 796 of the family's 1533-position model. The record is from RNAcentral.